Mustela erminea (ermine) is the source of this 679-nucleotide long non-coding RNA. RefSeq lists it as uncharacterized. The transcript is spliced from 3 exons. The record is from RefSeq and is a predicted model, not a curated record. NCBI's taxonomy places the organism in Eukaryota, Metazoa, Chordata, Mammalia, Carnivora, Mustelidae.
UCCUGCCUGAGAAAAGCUCGAAUUAGUGCCAGGGAGGUGGUGCGGCACCUGCUGGGGACAGUCGUGCUCAGAACGCCAAGGGCGGUCCCCUCAAGGCUGUUUUGCUUCUGGGGAGGGGACCGGCAGCCCUCAGCCGUCUCCCACUGAACGCAGCUCGGGGCCGGAUGAAGCACCUGCACGGGCGGGGUGAGGGCUCUGAGCAGAAAACAGCGGCAGAAAGACAGGAGUGAGACAAACACGUGAAGAGCCUCCAAACUGGUGAUCACCCCACUAACGACCCAGACAUGGGUGCAGGCGUGGGACGCACACAGCACUGUGGCAUAACGAAGCUCCAGCUUUCUGACGAGAUGACUAAAAAGCGGAACCCCAGGUCUGGAUUCAAACACCAGAGGUCACGGAAAACAAACUAUGGGACUGACCUCCACCAGUGUAUCAGACUGGCCUCUGGUGUCCAAACACAGCAAAAUCUUUGGAAACUGAACUAAUGCAGAAGCCAGAAUCCAUAAAACAUUGAUCUGCACUUGUGGCAAAAACCCAGCUAGAUUGAUUGCCUGUAAAAACGAAAACAUCAACAUUUUCCAGAACAUGGAAAUAAGACUCAGCAGCUCGUAAUGUGACAUUCAGAAUUACUCUUUUAUUUAUUUAUUUGAGAGAGAGAGCACGAGCCGGAGGAGGGGCA